Molecule: ribosomal RNA, 255 nt
Filed under: uncultured bacterium
Lineage: Bacteria
Description: partial 16S ribosomal RNA
Rfam family: Bacterial small subunit ribosomal RNA
Source: RNAcentral
CACGUAGGCACCAAGCGUUGUCCGGAUUUAUUGGGCGUAAAGAGCUCGUAGGCGGUUCGGUAAGUCGGGUGUGAAAACUCUGGGCCUACCACCAGAGCCGCCACCCGAUACUGCUGUGACUCGAGUGCGGUAGGGGAGCGGGGAAUUCCUGGUGUAGCGGUGAAAUGCGCAGAUAUCAGGAGGAACACCAGUGGCGAAGGCGGGUCUCUGGACAGUUCCUGACGCUGAGGCACGAAGGUCAGGGGAGCAAACGGG